Molecule: small RNA, 941 nt
Filed under: Arabidopsis thaliana (thale cress)
Lineage: Eukaryota; Viridiplantae; Streptophyta; Magnoliopsida; Brassicales; Brassicaceae
Description: ATSL095420
Source: RNAcentral
UAGAUAAUACUGAAAAGGCUGGAGGACCAGAAAGAGCUGAGACUUCCUUUGUUGAGUUCAGGUCCCUAUUGUCGGAGUGUGGGCUCUUUGAUCUAAAGCAUUCAGGCAAUUUCCUGUCUUGGAGAGGAGUGAGGCAUUUCCACUUAGUGCAUUGUACACUGGAUAGAGCAUUGGCUAACACUGCUUGCUUUGAUCUCUUCUCUCGAGGGCGCAGUGAAUAUAUGAAGUUUGAAGGGACUGACCAUAGACCUGUCCUAUCUGAUAAUAACUUUUUAAGAUCAAUUAAUCCUAAAGCACUAUCAUGUCGUUGUAGUACUGAAGGUUGUCAAUCCAAAUGGGUGUGAUGCUAGCAAUCAAGAUGCAAUCAGAGUUCACAGAGUCAAGCCAAGCAAUAACAGGUUUUGGGGUGUUCUAGCAGUCCUAAGUGAAUAUGGAGGAAACAGAAAAUCAAGCAGAAACAAUAAAACACUCGACCAACACAACUCGUUUCAGAGCACUGGGUGGGGUCGAGUGACUGGUCAAGUAACAGACAGAAAAUGUAACAGGGAUACUCGACUACAAAGACAACUAGGUGGUCGAGUAUUAGGUCGAGUAACACGCAAAAAUUGCAAAAACUAAGUAACGGUCACAAGAUGCAGUAAACAGUAGUAGAGUAAACAAAGAAAUCAAUUAGUUAAAGAAUUCCCGAGGAUGGGGUAAUUGAGUAGUUUUGUUUCCUCAGUUUACAGGUGAUUGACAUGCUCAAUAAAUUAUCCCUAGAUAACAAGUUCGGUAACCAAAUCUAAGUGCCACCGCAACAGAGACCCUCAAGUUAAACUAGUCCCAAACUCAAUCAGCAUUCACGAGAGCUAACCUAACAGGCAUUACGAAUCAACAAGUUAAAGCCAAAACGCUCCCUGCAACCAAUACAUGGGUACAGAGCCACAAAUUUCUGGAAUUAU